Molecule: long non-coding RNA, 1843 nt
Organism: Herpailurus yagouaroundi (jaguarundi)
Lineage: Eukaryota; Metazoa; Chordata; Mammalia; Carnivora; Felidae
Exons: 3
Source: RefSeq, a predicted model, not a curated record
UCCCAGAGACCAACAGAACAUGCUAGACCUGAUGGCUGACUCAAGUCUAAGACUCUGAAAUCAGAUCGGAGGUCAAAGGCUGCUGCCGCAUUUUCUGUGCAGAGCCUUGGUAGGGAGGAAACACGCUGAGAUAGGAUACAAAGAGUGUUCUCUGCUCAGAUCCUCCUUCUAUAAGUGGGGACAGACAAUUUGAGGUAUAGAGGGAAGAGAUGUCUUACUACAUGUCUAACAUGUUGCAAGGAUUCCAAUAAAAAUUUAUUGACAGAAAGGGUCUUUGGGAAUAAUAGUUGACAAAGUUGGGGCCCAGGUGCAUGUUUCCCAAACUGGAGUCCUGGAACUCCAGACAGGUAUCUUGAGGACCCCCAUGGAGAUGUGAGGGAGAGCAUUCCCAAGUGCCCUUCCUCCUCCUAUAACUGUCUUUGAUCCGAGUGGUUCUGCUUUUGUCUGUUUUAUAUAAUGAGAGUUUACCAUGGUUUUGUUUGAAAACAGUUUGAAAAUUGCCAGAAAAAUCCUGGAGGUGGAAAGAAGAAGAGCCUUUGGGACUAUAUGAUACAAUCUUAGCAGGAUAUUGUUACAGGAUAAAGGGGAGUCAGGCCACUUAGUAGUGUCACGGAGCAUGGUCAUAGCCACAAGACUGACCCUAGGCCAGUAGAGAGAAGACCUGCAGAAGAAGGAGAAAGAUGGCCAAAGAGAUCUUACGAAUCACUUCUCAAGGGCUUCCCUUUGGUCAUUGACUAUGAACCAACCUCCUGAAUAUAGCAGACAAGACCCUACUUCCUCCUCUUACUCUUCCCACUGUCUCUGUCUCUAUAUUCCAGCUACUCUUCCUCAAAUCUUGCCUGAAGAUCUUUGCAAAGGCCGUUCCCUCUGCCUGGGAAAUGUCCUUCCUCCUUUUCUGGGUUACAUAAGACUGCAACUUCCAUCUUGCUGAUCACCUUCUCACCUUAUAUGCUUUGAUGAAGCAAGCUCACAUGUUGGAAAAGCUCAAGGAAUUGAAUCCUGGCAACAACCACAUGAGUCUGGGAGUGGAUGCUUCACCCAGUCAACCUUCAGAUGAGAUCCCUGCCCUGGCCAACACCUUGAUUACAGCCUUGUGAGAGACCCUGAAGCUGAGUACUUAGCUAAGCAUGCCUCAACUCCUAACCCUCAGAAACUAAGAGAUAAUAAAUGUGUGUAGUGUUAAGCCACUAAGUCUUGGGGAUAAUUUCUUACACAGCAAUAGGUAGCUAAUAAGACAAAUAAGUGAAUAAGUCAGUAAGUGAAUGGAUUUGAAGUGAAGUGAAGUGAAUGAAACUGAAGACCUCACUAAAGGAAGGGGAAACUAAGACCUGGUGGAGGUGAGGGGGUAGUGUAGAGAGAGUGGACUGAUAUGCUCAAAGACAAUUGUCCAUGCUUCCUGUUUGAUUUUGUUUCUCUCAACCAUAGAAUCUAAAGGAGGCGUUUUGGGGAAAACUCUUCCAAAGUUUUUAGAAUCAGAAAUUCAACAGAGAACUUGAUGGAAAGGGUCAUGGUCAAGGGAAUAAAGGACCUAGAGGAAUAAGGACUGGAGACAAAAGAGCAAAAUGUUGCAUAUGAUUACCUUUGCAGCCCAAGCAUGAAGGGUAAAGAAUAUUCAAAACUGAAUGAGACUGGCAAAAAGCACCCAAGAGAUCAGCUGAGAUGCUAACAGAAGGUUAGUCUUCGUUCCCAAACAGUGGGUGGAGAGACGGAGGCAUGGGCCCUCCUGGAAUUUUAUUUCCUCAAACAUUAGAAAUCACAUACUUGAAACCUAUAAAGCCAUCCUAUAUGUUUAAAUAGAAAAGAAGGGGCGCCUGGGAGGCUCAGUCAGUUAAGCGUCUGACUU